This 253-nucleotide ribosomal RNA is filed under the name uncultured bacterium. Its description in RNAcentral is "partial 16S ribosomal RNA". It matches the Rfam family "Bacterial small subunit ribosomal RNA", at positions 524 to 776 of the family's 1533-position model. The record is from RNAcentral.
UACGGAGGGUGCAAGCGUUAUCCGGAUUCACUGGGUUUAAAGGGUGUGUAGGCGGGCUGUUAAGUCAGUGGUGAAAUCUCCGGGCUCAACCCGGAAACUGCCAUUGAUACUAUCAGUCUUGAAUACCGUUGAGGUAGGCGGAAUAUAUCAUGUAGCGGUGGAAUGCAUAGAUAUGAUAUAGAACACCGAUUGCGAAGGCAGCUUACUAAACGGUCACUGACGCUGAGGCACGAAAGCGUGGGGAUCAGACAGG